Molecule: long non-coding RNA, 101 nt
Organism: Alosa sapidissima (American shad)
Lineage: Eukaryota; Metazoa; Chordata; Actinopteri; Clupeiformes; Clupeidae
Exons: 3
Source: RefSeq, a predicted model, not a curated record
GAGACAUAACAGGAUAAUUACCAUGAUAAUGCCGGUAUAUGUCUGUGUGUCUGUGUGUCUGUGUCUAUGUGUGUGUGUGUGUGUGUGUGUGUGUGUGUGUG